AGCAGGAGAUAGAAGCCAGGUUAGGGUUUCUGGGGUGCUGAUAUGUUAGGGCAGAUGGCCAGGUGAUUCUCUGACAGCUGCACUGUGCCAGUCAUGGAGCAGGGCCGGUGACACCGAGGCAAAUCCGAGGUCACCUUGAGAAGGCCGAAGGCGACCGGCAGAGUUCUUCCUGCUCCAGAAGGUCCUCAGGGCUUAUGUUCAUCUGGCGGCAGCCACUGCCUGCAGGAGUCCGAGAACCUGCUGUGAGGAGGUGAAGGAGUUUUUUUUACAUCUGCAUAGCUUUGAUGUUCUCGGAGCGGAUGCAGUUCCCAUCCAUUGAGGAACCAGGCAGAGUGCCUCAGCGGACCCCAGGUGGCACCAUCCAACCUUCUCAAUGGACUCCAGAACCCUGCAGAGAAUCCAGUGUGCCCUUUGUCAGAUGGUUUUCCAGCCUUGGAAACCUGAACACUUGGAACAGUUCCUGGACUGCAUUCUUUGAGCUGGCCCUAUGGAGCAGUAUGGCCUUGAGGCUCCCUGGUAUCCAGCCAUGAAAUAAGUAUGCCCUCGCCCCUUGAAGUCAUCCAUCUGAUUGUGGCACCACCACCAAGUCCCUCUGUUCUCCCUACCAGAUUACUGCUUCCCAUGGAACAGGAAGUAGCUGUCCGAAAGUCAGUAGGGGAAAGUAUCGGCCACCAGCUUUGUCCUGUUGGCCCUUCUUGUGGCCGGUUCCCAUUGGCCAGCACUCUGAUCAUCCCCUACUGGAGUGCAGCGGAUUCCCAGAGGGCCGUUGCAUCAUGCCUAAUAAACUAAGAUAGCCAGUGCAUCACCAUGUUCUCUCUUUCAGUUUUCUAUCUCGCAUGAAGAGAUGCUCACAGUACCAUGUCGUUUUUACAGUCGGGCAAAAUGUAUGCCUCUCUUUGCUGACAUAGCUAUUCCUGGAUGAGAUUAAAGGGGCUGCGUGUUGAGGUACACAGUAAGAUGGCUGCCAAAAAGUCAUUUUCUCUUUAUUAAAUACUGUAAGUCUUCCCAAAGGGGACUGAUAACAGAAAGACAGUGCCACACAAUUAAUAUUCCGAUUAAGAUGCUUGCGAGUGAUAAGGACGAUCCAUCCUUUUUGCAGGCCAGUUCGGUUUCUGGCGUGUACUUUAGGAGGACUAAUGACAGCAGUGAUUAAUAGUGUGUUGAUGUUCUUCUUCUGGUGCAGAACGGACUGUUGCCCUACCACAGGAUGACUGCAGAAGCAGGAGGAUCACAACCAAUCAAGCAGUCAAGGCUUCCCUAACACCAUUAACAUUUUCUCAUUGAUACUGAUAUGCUGCCAGGGCAUUUCACACUUCAAGCUAAGCAAGAAUGUAUAUGAUUUAUUGCAAUGGCAGGGGGUUCCAUUGGGGGUCUUUCUCCUAAAAGCUUACGGAAAAAUAUCCAGUGGAAUCUAUUAAAUAAAAUGUUGAAAAGACACCCCAUGCAACAAAUGAGAUAAAUCUGUUCCUUUAGGAUAGAACUUUUCGGGGAAGAAAUAAAGCUUUAUACUGUAGUUAAUGGAUCCGGGCAGUCAAUCCAAAAUUACUCUGAGAAAUGGUGUUUAAACAUUAUUAAACUGAUAAGACAUUGAACUUCCUGUCAUGAAAAAUAGAAGCAUGGCCUUUAUUUUUAUUAUAAAUACAGUCUUCAUUAUGCCAACAAAGACUGAUUAACUCAAUGGGUAGUCCAGCAGGAAAACUGCAUUCGAUUUUUUUUCAUUAAAUGCUACAUGACAGUUGAUGCAUCAUGCUCGGAUGGUCUCCACAGCUCAGAUAAACACUUUCUUAUCAAUAAGAGCUAUAUUGUAACACUACAUUAUGAUUU
This is a long non-coding RNA of Brienomyrus brachyistius, 1824 nucleotides long. RefSeq lists it as uncharacterized. The transcript is spliced from 4 exons. The record is from RefSeq and is a predicted model, not a curated record. Lineage: Eukaryota; Metazoa; Chordata; Actinopteri; Osteoglossiformes; Mormyridae.